This 676-nucleotide ribosomal RNA is filed under the name Pluteus salicinus. RNAcentral describes it as "eukaryotic LSU rRNA". The stretch from base 291 to 444 matches the Rfam family "5.8S ribosomal RNA". Lineage: Eukaryota; Fungi; Basidiomycota; Agaricomycetes; Agaricales; Pluteaceae. The record is from RNAcentral.
CAAGGUUUCCGUAGGUGAACCUGCGGAAGGAUCAUUAGUGAAUAAACAAGCAGGUUGUGCUGACCAUUCGUGGUAUGUGCACACUUGCUAAUGUUUCAUUCCAUUCUCCACCUGUGCACUCUGUGUAGUCUGUUGCAUUGCUGUUGUCAGAUUUAUAUCAAGUCUGGUUAAGGGAAGUUGCUUGUUUCUCAACAGGCUCUUCUGGGGCAUGCACAGUCUACGUUUAUCAUCAACACUAUAUGAAUGUCAUAGAAUGUAUCUGGGCCUUAUGUGCCUUUAAAUCAUAAUACAACUUUCAACAACGGAUCUCUUGGCUCUCGCAUCGAUGAAGAACGCAGCGAAAUGCGAUAAGUAAUGUGAAUUGCAGAAUUCAGUGAAUCAUCGAAUCUUUGAACGCACCUUGCGCUCCUUGGUAUUCCGAGGAGCAUGCCUGUUUGAGUGUCAUUAAAUUCUCAAUCCUGUGUAAUCUUGUGUUGCAUGACGAUUGGAUUUUGGGGGUUUGCUGGCUUGUUCAGCUCCCCUUAAAAGCAUUAGCAGGGCAAUGAUGCCAUCUGUGCUGUGUAUGAUAUGUAUCUAUACAUUGUGCAGGUUGGGUACAUCUGCUUCAACUGUCAUUUAUGACAUUUGACUAAUUUGACCUCAAAUCAGGUAGGACUACCCGCUGAACUUAAGCAUA